This 1152-nucleotide long non-coding RNA is filed under the name Homo sapiens (human). RNAcentral's name for it is "HSALNT0308469". Lineage: Eukaryota; Metazoa; Chordata; Mammalia; Primates; Hominidae. The record is from RNAcentral.
AUGUUUGGCACGGCAUCUCAACUUGAUGUCUAUUUCUUCUUGUUCUCCUUCACCUCACAUGAACCUUCCAAGUCAUAAUUCUUUGGAAAUAGACACAAGGAGCUUUAUUUCAAAUUACCAUCCUUUACUUAAGAGGUUCCAUCUCUAAGGUCUGGCUGAUUUCACUUAACAUAAUGUCCUUCAGGUUCAUCCACAUUGUGCCAAAUGAGUGACAACUAUAGCUUCCAUAAGAAAGUUUUGGAGGCUCCUAAAAAUGACAGAUAAAUGAACUAACCUAAUCAGCAAAAUUAAACUAUAGGAAAGAGUAUGGACCUUGAAAAGACAGCUUAGCCAGCUUGACGACUAAAGCAACACCUUUCCAAGCAACAUUGGAAAUUUGACCUCCUCAUCAGAAAAAUGUGUAUAGACAUCUCUGGAGUCAGGCUACCCCAUAUGAAGCUUGGAUUUUGGCUUCACUGUGGCUGCAGGUAUUUGAGGAUGCAAUUAGCUGAACUAAUCUCACUCAAAUUCCUAAGUGCGACUUCUUACGUGGUUUUCAUCUAGCCGUUCUAUCUAUCCCAACAAGAAUCUGUUGCUAGACCUCAAAAACACUGAGUGCUGUCAGGAAAAAAUGUACAAGGCACCACAAAGAUUAUGGGGCAUCUACUAUGGAAAACCUAGACAUUGUCUAGAGCAUUGUUUGUGGUUAUCUCUGUCUUUCAUUGCCUUUGAUCUAUUUUUCAACUCUCCACAUUGUAGAAAAUGACUGAUAAUUCAAAUGAUUCUUUUCCAUAAAAAUGGAAGUGAACAAUGUUCGGUGGGAUGCAAUGGACUAAUUUUGUAGGUAUUUAUAAAUUUAUUUUAACAUUUUGUAUUACCUAUGUAUAUAUGUGAUUCUCUGAAUUCUCUUUUGAACUGAUCAUAACAUCUUACUGGAUCUCAUUAAUUAAUGCAUUAAAGUCUUUGACCCAUGUUCAUUUUAUAUGAGAGUCUUGAUUUUAUAUUAAAAAAUGAUCCUUUGAGAGUGGCUAAUCCUGACAAGGGGGAGUCUCCCAGCACAGUGCACCAGCUCUUCAGCUGAUCCUGACAAGAGGGAUUCUCUCAGGACAGCGCACCAGCUCUGCUAAGGGACAGACUGCCUCCUCAAGCGAGUCUCUGAUCCUGUGCCUCCUG